Molecule: ribosomal RNA, 492 nt
Filed under: uncultured bacterium
Lineage: Bacteria
Description: partial 16S ribosomal RNA
Rfam family: Bacterial small subunit ribosomal RNA
Source: RNAcentral
AGUGAACGCUGGCGGUAGGCCUAACACAUGCAAGUCGAACGGCAGCACAGUAAGAGCUUGCUCUUACGGGUGGCGAGUGGCGGACGGGUGAGGAAUACACCGGAACUUAUUUUUUGGGGGGGGUUAAGGAAGGGAAGCUAAGCCCAUAACGGAACACCUCCUACGGGGGAAGGCAGGGGAACUUUGGGCCUUUGGCGAUGGAAUGGCCGCUUGUCGGAUUGGCUAGUUGGCGGGGUAAAGGCCAACCAAGGCGCGGAUCCGUAGCUGGUCUGAGAGGAUGGUCAGCCACACUGGAACUGAGACACGGUCCAGACUCCUACGGGAGGCAGCAGUGGGGAAUAUGGGACAAUGGGCGCAAGCCUGAUCCAGCCAUACCGCGUGGGUGAAGAAGGCCUUCGGGUUGUAAAGCCCUUUUGUUGGGAAAGAAAAGCAGCAGGUUAAUACCCCGCUGUUCUGACGGUACCCAAAGAAUAAGCACCGGCUAACUUCGUG